RNAcentral lists this ribosomal RNA (497 nucleotides) under uncultured bacterium. RNAcentral's name for it is "partial 16S ribosomal RNA". It matches the Rfam family "Bacterial small subunit ribosomal RNA", at positions 28 to 507 of the family's 1533-position model. The record is from RNAcentral.
GAUGAACGCUGGCGGCGUGCCUAAUACAUGCAAGUCGAGCGAACAGAUGAGGAGCUUGCUCCUCUGACGUUAGCGGCGGACGGGUGAGUAACACGUGGAUAACCUACCUAUAAGACUGGGAUAACUUCGGGAAACCGGAGCUAAUACCGGAUAAUAUAUUGAACCGCAUGGUUCAAUAGUGAAAGACGGUUUUGCUGUCACUUAUAGAUGGAUCCGCGCCGCAUUAGCUAGUUGGUAAGGUAACAGCUUACCAAGGCAACGAUGCGUAGCCGACCUGAGAGGGUGGUCGGCCACACUGGAACUGAGACACGGUCCAGACUCCUACGAGAGGCAGCAGUAGGGAAUCUUCCGCAAUGGGCGAAAGCCUGACGGAGCAACGCCGCGUGAGUGAUGAAGGUCUUCGGAUCGUAAAACUCUGUUAUUAGGGAAGAACAAAUGUGUAAGUAACUAUGCACGUCUUGACGGUACCUAAUCAGAAAGCCACGGCUAACUACGUG